GACUGUUGGAGGUAUACCCUAGAGGCAAUCAUAGAGAUGAUGAUAUCUAAUUGUAUCCAUGAUUUGUAUAUUAUGUUCAUUGAAUAUCCAUUAAAGGCUACUUGAAUUGAUCUGCAAUUAUGUGAAUUGUAUGUGGAACUCUUUACUUGUAUGGUUAUUCUAAAAGUUAUCCCUAGUCGGAGUUCAUGUGUGGACACACAUGAAUAUUAGACUAGUACAUGUAUUAGUUGAUGACUAUGUUUCACAAGUCAUGAACAUGGAGAUGUCAAACUAAUAAUGUAGGCGUAUGUAGAGACAUGUGCUAGGAUUGACCCAACAUGAGAAGUAGUUCUCUCUUUACACAACAAGUACACUUUGUCCUUAGACCUGAGAUUGUUGCAUAUACUCAAGAUGUGGAUCGACUUACUUAGGGGCUAUCAAACGCUACACCGUAAUAGGGUAGUUAAAAAGGUAGCUUUCGGGUUUGUCAGGAAGCAUGCUGUGAGGCAUGGUCAAUCAAGAUGGGAUUUGCCCCUCUCUGAUUAAGAGUGAUAUCUGGGCCCCUCGAGUGAUCGGAUUCGGAAAUGCAUGGCCAUGCUACGUACGGUUAAGAGUUAACCUACAAAGGGAUUCCGAAUCACAGGAUCGAGAAAGAGCGGUCGGCUUGAAGCUAGACCAAAUAUCGUGAGGCCAAGGAAAUAGCAUGUACAUGAUGUUGUGACGGUUCGUCUGAUAUGAUCUUCGUGUGCGUAUAGGAGUUGGCACGUCUUGCUAGAGGCCGCAACCGACUAUUGGGCCGAGUAGGAGUACUCAGGCCAUGUCUAUACGUAUCCGAACCCAUAGGGUCACACACUUAAGUCUACGCUGAUCGACUUCGCUGCCCCGACGCGAUUCUACAACUUCCACACCUGUGCGUCGAGUGGUAAUCCCGUGAUCCAUAUACGACAGUUUUCCUGGUUUACGCGGUAGAAAAAUUUUGUUUUGCGCUAGCGUAGCCUACCUCGUAUCCCAACAAAAAGGGAAAGGUAGAAGCAUACGAAAAGUCUAGUCAAGAGUAGCGGUAGUCAACAACACUGUCCAUACCUAUGGACACGGACUAUAGCUAUAGAUUUAUAUACUCUGCAGAGGUUGUACACAUGUACCCGCACGGAUGGAGCCUGAACAGGGAUCAGCCGUCCAAACCCCACCUAACGGCCGGAGCCCUAGUAAGUGGAUAGCCCUCGCCCGUUUCCUUGAGUCUAGAACUGUCCUCGUCAGCAGGGCACGCCGUCACCAGAGAGGACCUCGAAGCUGUGAAACCUACCCAUGCCGGGGUGCAGUCUUGUUAGAGCAGACCAUAGCCUCGAACUCCUUACACAACCCUCCUGCCCACCUAUGGGAAGAUCGCUAUCCACUACUAGUCUUGGACGGAACCCCGCCCAUAUGUGAGCGAACAAUAUGUACGUAAAUAGAUGUUGUGACUGGUGGUGAACUGACUCGGUCCUUAAGCAGUUGAGAGCGAGCACCAACCAACUCCGUAGUAACAAGCAAGGUACCCACCACAGGUACGGGGUAUGGAGAGAGUCCAGAAUGCUCUCUCCCGGCAUGGCACUCCUCAGUACGUACCCUGGCUCAAUCCCGCCAAGUACCCAUCAAGGAAUCAUACUCACCCAAAACUUACGGGAGAGUAGUCAAGGAAUCCCAUCACCAACCUAUGGUAAAUACCCAUCCAUAACUCAAAGGCAUGUAUAUGGAUGAAUAAAUGGUGGACUAGCUAGGGGUCCAUAGCUAGUCCACAAAAGUAGGUAGAUAAGGAAGCUGGAUAAAAUAAUUAUCAAGGCAUGGCUAAAAUAUUGGCUAUGCAAUCCAUCAUCAUCAAGCAAGCGAUAUAAACAAAGUGCUAGCAACUAAGCAUGCAUAGGAUCUAUAUGUUUGGGAGUGACACGGCACCUUAUAUUUGUUUGUUGAAGUCCUUGCCAUUGAAGUCGAGGUCAAAGGGUCUUCUUGAUCAUCACAGCUCGGGUCUUCAAAUGGAUCUACAACAUACACGAGAUGCGACGUGAAAAUAAAUAAGAGGCAAUACAUCUAAUGCAAAAAUACCAAGAAGAGCAAAAUAGAAUAUUCAAAUAACUCCAAACUAGCUACAAACAGAAUGGGUUCAAUUUUAGGAAAUUAGUGAAGUUGGUUUUAUAAUUUUCUGAGCUAGUAUGAAUUAUUAAUGAAUUAAAUAGGAAGUAAAGUAGAUUAAUCAAUUUAAAUUCUAAAAUUAAGGUGGGGACAUGUGUCAGCACCUGAUUGUGUUGCGGGUCUCAUGGUUGGGAUCUUUUGUGGCCAUACGUGCAUGUGGGUUGCUGUGUGGCAGGCUUGCGAGCGGCUGGGUGCGUGCACUUGCAAGGUGUUCGGGCAAAUGCCCCGAAAGGAAGCGGCGACAAGCUUUGCAAGGCAACAGCGAAAACAAGGCUUGCGGUGGUAGCUCAAGGCUUGGCUUCCCAGCCUCAUCCAUACGGUGGACGACGACGGCUUCAAGGUGGCACAGCACGGCUAAGGCUUGGCCUUCCGACCUUGCCCGAGUUGCGGAGCACGUGAGGCUCAUAGCAAGGCCAUGGCUGCGGCAAGGGAGGCGGCAGCACGGCAAGCGGCAUGGCGAAGGGUUGCGGCGCGACAAGGAGUUGCUGCGCGCGAGGUGCUUGGUAAUAUGCCGCAAAGGCAGUAGCAGCAUGGGCACGCACAGCGGUAGCAAGGUGGCGGAAGCAAGGUGGUGGAAAGUGCACAUGGGUGGCGGAGUGAUAGGGAAAAGCAUGAGCGAGCGGCAGUGACACCUGCAAGAAAAGGGGGCACGGCUCGAAGGCCGGCACACAAGCGACGGCGGGGCUGCAGCAUAGCGGCACGGCUCCUCGGCACGAAGGCCGGACAUAGAGACAAGGCGUAAGUUCACCUAGGGCUUGACGGGCUGCUUGGGCAUUUCGUCGAACACGUGAUCACGAGGUGGAUGGCAGCCGGCUCGGUACUUGGCCAGCAGACUAGUACACAGCGAGCUGGUGAUUCAGGCAUAUCGUCGAACAGGUCGUGGGUGAGGUGGAUGAAGGCAGCCGCUUGCGGUCGUCGGCGUCGCUACGGCGCCUCUGCUCCCUCAUCCGGUCGUCGAUGUCCUUGCUGGCUUGGUGAAGGGGCGGCGCGCGGCGGCGUCAGCGGUGGCACGCGGCAGCGAUGGCGUAGUUGCGGCUUGUGUUCCUCCUGGUGCUUGGCAUAGCUGAGGCAGGGCAGCGGCUUGGCGCAGACACGAUGCAGCUCCCCUCCGCUCCGGCCCGGUCUUCUUCUCCCCUUCCUUGCGUCCUGCUUGGUGUAGUCGUCUCCGACGGUGAGGAUGCAGCUCGGACCGGACGGCAGUGCGGCCAGCUCUUCAUCCACACGGUGCUCUUCCUCUUCCCCGGCCGACGGUGCUGCAGGCGCCCUCUCCUUCUUCCUCCUCCUUCUCCUCAUCCCUCCUCCUUUCUCUGGUCCGCUCUUCUCUCUCGCGAUGGGGUUUUCUCUCGGAUUGGCUUGGAGCAAGAAGAGGCGGCGGUUUGGAAGGCUGGAGAGGGAGCGGUUGCUGUCGUAAGGAAGAGAGCAGCGGCCGUGAGGAUUUAUAGCAGCACGCUAGGAAUCCGCGAGGGGCUGAGAGGCGUGGACGGUGGUGAUCCUCGGCUUCCGCACACAGGGCACGUGGUGAGCAUCCGGACGGUGGCGUGGGAGGCACGCGGGUGCGGGAUCAGGUGAGAGCAGCGGCGUUUCGGGCGCGGGCGCGUGCGCUCGCAGCCGCGGCCAUGAGAAGGAAAGCAAGCAGCAGGGGGAAAGCGGAGCAGGUCACGAGCACGGGCAGAGGCGCGUCGCGGCGCUGGAGCCUAGCACGGCACGCAGGGAAAAAGAUGUGGGCGGAGCGGCUUGCGAGCGAAGGAAGGAAGAGAAAAGGAGAGGCGCGCGAGAGGAAGGGCGGCGCAGGCGGCGGCGUCUGCAUGCGAGAUGAGGACGACAAAUGAACAGCAGCAUGUGCUGUUGUCCUCGCACGUGUAGGCCUGCGCCAAGGCGUGGAGCAGGGCAGGUUCGCUGCCUUGCAAACGGCAGGCCGCUGGGCCCGGGUGCAAGAAAAGAAGGGAAAGCAAAACGGAGACCAGGUUGGAGCACUGCUGGGCUUCACGAGAGAGAAAAACAAGAGAGAAAGGAAACGAGCUGGGCUGCAGCGUUUCGUGAAAGAAGAGAAACAAAGCAAGGAGAUUAAUGUGGACGGGUUUUUGGCCAGGGUGAUUAGCGGGUGUGAAACUCGUUAGCUCGUCAGUUAGCAAGUUGACAAGAGGAGGUAAAGACAGAUGGUCAAGGAGAUUGCUAGCGGACUUGCCGAGCAGUUUGGUCAAUGGAUAGCUCGGGUGCAAAGUCAGAGUUAGGCACAUUUGAUUUUUAUUAUGCUAUUUACAUACUAGCUUUAGUUUGUAUUUUUGAUCCAAAAAUACAAACUCACUUUUGAGAUCCAAAUUAAAUCAAAUAAAAUCCAAGCAAGCAUGUUUUAAAUUUAAAUGCACAAUUUAAUUGCUAGCUUUUGAAUUUAGAGAAAAGAAAUGAGGGUUGACCUUAAGUUUGACCAAGUAUUUAUAUGAUUCACACAAUCAAACAAAAAGAUUUAAAUUUUUGCAAAAACUAGCACAAUUACUAUCACACAAUUUGAGGGAUAUUACAGUACAUCUCUGAUCACAGGCAGAAAAUUGAUCAUAACAGCAACAUUGAACCUGAGAUCUUGAUGAUCCAACUUGCAAGUAUUUAGGCAUGACUUCUCCACAUCAUUUGGAUCUCAUGUUAUUGCAUGGUUAGUGAAAUUCCGGCAAUCUCCUAGCAAGUGCGCAUUUAAGAUCAUUACCUUGACCAAGCGCAAAGUAAGAUCGAGAUUUACAAAACUUAUUGUAAACAUAAGCAUCCAUAAUCACCACAAUUGAGUUGCAAAAGAAUAUCAUGGUGCAAUUUAAUAUAGCGCAUGUUUCUUGCAUAGCACUAACAUCUCCACAAGGCAAAGGUUUUGAAGGCAUAAAAUCAAUAGGUUCAAACAAAAGUAUUGCCUCUUUAUCAUUCUCAAGAAAUUCUAGCCUAUUGUUGACACCGGAUUUUGACCAGCUAAAUCUUGUAGAAGAUGACAAGUCUAAUUGGAAGUUAGCUGAUAAGCCUGAUGGAGCCGACGGGGUUGCAGCGUGCGCUAUGGGAUUUUAGUGCAAAGAUGGACUUCAUCUGAUUGGUCAGUAAGAAAAGAAUAUUUAAAGAGAGGACAAUGCAGUACGUGCAAGGUCAUUAAUAACGAAGACAAGGUAGCACGUAUAAGCAAAAAGAGCCCACUUAUGGCAACUAAGAGAUGAUUAGAAUAAAGAAGUCAGGAAGGAAAAGCUCACGCGUAGAGAUAAAAUUGAUUAGAAUAGAGAAAGAGAAGCGUGUUGCCGCAUGGAAAAGAUGUCCAGGUUGGUUACGCAUGUUGGCCGAUCCUUGCACGAACAGCUCGGAGGAAGUUUCAUUAGCAAGGAUUCUACUUAAAGGAAAUUAGAGUUUAUGUAUCUUAGUAUUUUCUUUUGUUUAGAUAUUUUAUAUUAGGAAAGUCUUGUACGACUCAUGCUAGGAGUCAUUAGUUUGGGGUAUAAAUAUGUACCCAGGGUCAUUGUAAAAAAGAUCAUCACACGAUCAAUACAACACAUCUAUCUUCCCCGCUUCACGCUAUCGCAUUAGGAGUAGGAGUAAGGUAGCUUCUUGAUGAGUUCUUUCCAGUAAGCUGGGCUGCAUCGACUUCGAUCUCUGGCAAUCUGCAAGUUCCCAUCACCAGGUAUCCUAGACUUCAACUUCCGGGCGCAUCGCUGUCGUUGGGUCUAGUUCUUGCCUACAAGUUAUCGAGUAUCUUGGAUCUUCGACUUACGGCGCAUUGCUUCUGUCUCGAUCCAUGGUAUUCACCAGUUAUCAGUUUUAUCAUAUCUUGUAAGGCUGCAUCAUUCAAUCUCUUGCUAGAUGUGGUAGAAUCAUGGUUAUUCUACCUUGAUUAAGAUUGCAUCGGCUGAUAUUUAUUUAAUCUAUUGUUUUGCCGUCUAGUUUGCUUUAAUUAGCUUUAGAUUGUAUCAUCAUAGACGAUAGAUCACUUAAUAGCCUGUUGCAUCUUAAUAUUGGCUACCCCUCAAGUGCUGUUGGAAUGGAAGUCCAUUGUGGUUAGAUUCAUCGGCUGGCGAGUUUCAGAUUGACGCCCUGCUGAGUGUUUCUAGGCUGCAACUACCGGGCGCAUCGCUGUGAUUUCACCUAGAAAUACUAGUAGUGACGUUAGUUUCCUAUUGGCUUUCUAGCCGAUAGCCUGCAUCGGUUGUUUAGCCAAUCGCACGUGCUUUAAUGCCUAUGGCCUAUUUUCACGAUUUUGUUGAAGUAUAGAUAGAUUUGUUUACUUUGAAGUUUUAAUCUGUUGUCCUUAUUAUGGCUGCCAUCGACCCGAUCGAACCCCACUGUUAUGGAUAAUAGGGAAGAUUUGAUGAGUCUAUAGAUCUGUUUAUAUCAAGCAGUUGACUGAUAGCAUGCCAUGCUCUGUUUCCUAUCGGCUUUGUAGCUAAUAGCUUUUAUGCUCCAUUAUCAAAUCGGCUUGGAUAGCCGAUGGAGCACUCACGUUCAUCAGGAUACUGGAAUCGGCUUCAUAGCCAAUAAUUUAUUCAUCAUGCUUUAUUUUGCUACACCAUCAUCAUUGUUGGUGCCAUCAGCCUGAUCGGUCGGUUGCCUCGAAAUUCAAAAGGACUAUCUUCACCUUGUCAGUUGAAUGGUCAAACUGACUGGCACGCCCGCGUAUACCACGCACGCCGAUCUACAGGACCUGCACUAGAGUGAAGCAAAUCUCCCAGGCCUUCAGUGUGUUGCCAACGCAGGAGUCAGCUGUGGUGGAACCGCUCUAAUUAACUUAGCUAAAGCACAAUUAAGUCGCCUGACACGCGAUUAUAUGCUUUAAUCAAGUUAACUCGGCAGUCCGUCGGAUUUCCUCCGAUAAACCACUACACAGGACCGAGAAAGCAGAACUCACACGAAGGUGAGUGGUUCCAGAGAAUACAAUAGAUCAUCCAAAAUUCAACCAGUACAUUAAUGUAUUACACAUCGGGUUCGAAAUUCAAACAUAGUUGCAGAGUUCUCAAGCAGCGAAAAAAGACAAAUGGAAGCUAGCGCCGAUGGUCGGAUGUCACGAUGAGGCCGAUCAUGACAUCAAUGAGUCCCAUCCUCACCGUCCGAGGAGGGAUCCCACUCGACCGUCCACCCAGGAGGAAGCUGGGGAGGCCAAGUGCCACAAGCAGCAAACUCAGGGGCUUCAACAUCACCUGAAAGAUGUGCCACAAGUAAGGCUGAGCAACUAUGCUCAACAAGACUUAACCGACCGGUGGUAACUACUCCACCAACUUCUAGACAUGCAAGGCUUUUUGGUUGAGGGGUUUGUUUUAUCAAAAGCGACUAUAGUAGGUCCUUACUUUCAAUAUUUUAGCCACAAGUUCUAUGUUCAUUUACCAAUCUAAGUUAGCAGCUAUACUAAACAAGCAGAAGUUUCCAAGCAAUUUAUGACAAGCAUUCAUAUUAACAUCACCAUCAAGUUCCAUUCUUACUCACUGUAGCACAGCGAUCAAGUAGUCCCAAACUGUGAGAGGCAGACGAAUCGAUUCGAAUUUCUUAACCAUGCAUGGCGAACCUAAUCUCACGACAUCCGCGCACCACAAAGGUUCACUUACUUUGUCGGCUGUCCCCAUCAAUCCCCAGACACGUGUCGGGCCCACUUUUCUUGGUACAAGGCUCCACAGACCCGACAUCUGCCGUUCUGUGACCACACUUUUCACCACAUGCGGCCACAAGGGAACUUCAUUCUAGAGAUAGUGGAUCGAACCGCUCAUGUCCUGGUUCAAUCAGGUACUAGGCUUCCCCAUCCCAUACUAGGUAUGAGAUUAGUACUUUCAAACACUUGAUCACGAACACCAUCACCUUUCGACCUUAAUCAGAGUUUCAAGUAGACAGACGGGGUAAUCCACCGACCACCAAAAUAGUUCACAGAGCCCUGCCCCGUCCAUCGUCCUUAUAGUGGUAACAAAAAGGAGAACAAGCAACACAUAUAACUCGCAAGUGACAGGAAAUCACUCGACUUUUACCGAGUCCUGUUUAAGCAUUGCAACUACUCGGCCUAUCAGACUAGUGUUCAGAUCAAAGGGAAACUAAGUCAUGCAUCUAUGGUUUCAAACAACUCCUGGAACGUAAGUGCACACACAUACAACAGAAGGCAUGCACAAGUUUAGACAAACUGGGUUAUGCUCCGGGGCUUGCCUUCGAGCGGGGCGAUGGCGAACUGGUCCUCAGUGUGCUCAGGCUCAGCUCCUGCAGGCAGCGGCUCAACUACAACUUUGUCUUCGGGCACCGGGUGCAGCUCGUACGUUCCGUCAGCGAGGUUCAGCUCUACACGGAAUGCAAUGCAAGGGUGAUACACUUAGACGGUGAUUAACAGUAUUGCAAAGAUUUAACCCAAAACUGUAGCAAAACUACAGGAAAAAGGUGUGAAACCCACUUUAUUGGAUUCUACUCAGAACGAGGAUUCCAACCCAAGUGAUUUCACAUUUUUCUAAUUUUUCCACGAUUUAAGAUGUAAUGUCCAAGCUUCUGUCGAUUUAGAACGAGUUAAAAGAGUCGGAUCGUGGAAAACUUACGAUCUGACCCUUAGACCUAAGGAAUAACUGUACCGGGGUCCUUAGAUUUAACAUAGAGAAGUUCCCAAAAUUUUACACAGAUACCCUCGGUCAAAAGAGAAAGACACAACCGAGCCCUCGGGCGAGGCAGACAACACUCGGGCGAGUCGGGCGAGGUGAACAGCACUCGGGUGAGGUGAACAGGGUCGGGCGAGACGGAUAGCACUCGGGCGACGCGGACAGGGGUCGGCAGCUUACCUCCGGUCGUACGGGUGAGGUCUUGGGGUCGGGAAGAAACAAGCCGAAGCGGAACGGCGGAAGGCAGUAAGUUUCGAGCGGCGGCGAGGUCCGGCAGUGCUCCGGCGGUGGUUGUGCUUUUCGUGGACAACAAGCAAGCUCUAGAGCUGGGCGAAAGAAAGGCGAAGCGGCUGGUAGGGACGGCAAGGCGCGGUGUUGAGCGAAAGGGGGAGCUCCACGAUGAGCUCAGGCGGCGGCACUUGAGCGUGAAGCAGAGGAGUGUGCGGCGGCGAGUGCGAUGGAGAAGAGCAGAGAAAGUAGUGUGGCAAAGGUGGUGGUAGCGAAGGGAACUCUGGUAAGAGGCUUUGGUACCUCUUUUAUAGCUGCGCGGAAGUGUUUGGAGGAAGGAAAUGAGCUCGAGCGGCGAGAGGAUAAGAUUGAGGGAGAAGAGGAGUGCUCUGCCGCGGCGGUGAUUGGUCGGCGUCUCCAUUGGCCAGAGAAGCGGAGCUCUGGGGGCAGGAUCAUUCGGGCAUUGUGCAAGAGAGAUAGCGUUAGGCAAGUGCAAGCUUGCCGGGCGGAAGGAUUGGCGAGGUCGAGCAUGUGCCUGGUCGCGUCAAGCGCAGGAUUGGGUGCGGCAGCUCGGCCAGUGUGCGGCAGUGGCGUGGUGUGCGAGGGAAUGGAAGACGCGGGCACUGGUUGGGCGAGCGGGCAAGGGCGUGGGAUGACGGCAGUGGCAUAGGUGGACAGGAAGGAGGGAGGGGCACUGCAGGCGAGGGUGCUGGAGGCGAGGUGACAGGGCGAGCGGUGUGACGUGAGCAUGCGCGAGACUAGCGGCUCUACCGGGGCAUGCUACCGGCGAGGCGGGGAAAGGAGUUGUCACUGCCUGCGCGGUGGUUGGCGAAGACGGCAGUGUCACAGGGCACGCACGCGAGCAGCGUGACUGAAAUGUGACAGAAGGGCUGGAAGGCGUUGGGGCGAGGGGUCGGUGAUAUGGGUGAGACGAAUGCGUGCGUGAGGCGAGGUGGUACCGACGCGGCAGCGACCGGUCUUCAGUCGCAGAGUGGCCGGGGCGACGGCGGAGCUGCGGGCAGUGCACCUGGCGCGGCCGGCGAGGCCUCGGGCGAGACGAGACGGGGCGAAGGGGUCUACAGGGCACUUCUGCGUGCUAUUGGGAAAAAGGCGCGCUGAUCUAUCUUGUCGCGGCCGGCGACUGGGCGAGGCCACGCUCGCCGGUGAGGUCACGCCAUGCGGCGGCAGCACUCUGAGCGCGGCGCACGCGCGCUCUGGCGCUGUCUGGCCGACGGAUCCGCGAGAUCCUUUGUCGGGCCCAUCUUCCAGCCUCUUGAUCUCCCAAUUUUUAAAUUGUGCCAUGUUGACUCCCUUUACAAGAGUUGUAGUACACAGACUAAGGUCCAACUUUUGUAAAUUGACCGAGUUCAAAAACAUGGUGGAAUAGGAGAUUCAAAGCUUCAAAGUUUGGAGGAACACCGGUUUCAGGACUUAGAGAAAAAUGGCCGUUUUGCUGGUUUUUAGGGGUCGGGACUGAUUUGAGCUGCAGAUUUGGGAAUCUUCGGAGGCGAAUUGGACCAAGGUCCAAUUAACUAAGUUGUGGUAGGAACUUCUUUCUCCAACUUCUAUAAAGGGGUUUCUUGAUGUUCUGUUCAAUUUUCCAAGGAUAAACCCACCUUAAGGCGCUAGGUCGGGCUGAUUUUCCAGACUUAGCCAAAAUGGCUAAAGGAGGCUGAGUUGACGAGACUAGGGGACUUGUCUUAAGAUUAAAACUGGGCUGAUUUAAUCUAGGUCGUUACAUCAACCGUCCGAUUUUUGCGUCAACACCUAUCAACAUGAUAAACAUAGGUGCAAGGCAUAAAAUUUAAUCUAUCAUCCAUACUAUUGGUUGAACAAAGGCAUUUCAAGAUAUCAUCAUCAAAACCAAUAGUACCUUGAGAGUUUAAUGUGUACCUUAACCUUGGAGCUUUUUCAUCAAGAGUGAUUUUUUGUUCAUCGACUAGAGUUGAAAGCAGAUUGAUCUCAAUAAUUGGAGGUGGUUCUUCAUCAUCAUCAUGCAAUUCCUCCAGCUCUCCAUCAUGUGGAUCAUGUAGUUCAUUAGCAAUAUUAGCAGUCACCUCUUCUUUGAAGUCUUCAUUAUCUGGGAUAACACCUACAUCUUCAUCUUUAAAGUCUUUUGUAUUGCCUUCAUUACUUCCAUGUGCCAUAUGUCAUCAAAAUCGUUUGUUGUAGACUCACUCUUUUCUUCAUCUUUGAGCAUUAUCAUGUCUUGAUUUUCUAGUGUUCCAGCUUCAAUAGCACACAACCUCUUCACGUUGCGUGCUCUUGCUUUCUGAAAUUUAUUCUCUGAAACUUUAGCCAUAUCACUAGAAUUAUUAGAGAUUAGAUCUUGACAUAUUCCUGCAGUUUUUUCAGCAGUUUUUUCGAAGUCAGGGUACCUCUUCUCUUCAUUGUCUUUCUCUCUAGUGACUUUAAUAUUUCUUCUUCAAACAUCUUCUCGAUUAAUUCUCCACUCAUCUCUUGAUCAAAUAUAUCAUCAAUUUUCCGGGCUUUGCUUUGGUGUUUCUUAUGUCGUAUGUUGUUGUUUAAAUGGCCAAAAUAAAUCGGACUCAAAUCAAGCUGUUCGAAUUCCAUCAAAGGUCUAGCAUUCUCGAAUGUUCUGUCAAAGUUCAUGUUAGUUUUAGUAGUUUUAAUAUGCAUAAUGACUUCUCUUACCUCACAAAGUGCUUCUUUGAUUUUUAGUGUGGUCGGUUCAUCUUUAUUGAGCUCCAGUUCAUCUUUUUCAAAAAUUUCAGCAAACAUCUCAGGCUUGUUCUUGUCAUUUUCCUUCUCCUAGUAGAGUUUCUGCCAUUCUCAUUCCACUCUUUUUGCAUUGCUUAUCCUUUGUAAUAUCUGUGUACCUUCUCUAAUCGUCCUUUCCAUGAAAUCGAGCACACAUUCUUACAUGAUGGGAAGAGUGAGGGGUUAGUGAAAAAUAAAAUGAAUGCAACACCAUGUCCAUAGAAAUUCCCAAGUUCGGGCCUUGCUCAAAUAGUCCAUUAAAUUGGUUCCAAUCUUCAUCGAUUCCCUCAUCUUCUCCUUGCUUGAAAUUAAUCACUUGCUUCCUAAAUCUUGAAUCUUCUCUAAGGGAAAAUAUUUUGAGCAGAAUUUCUUCACGAGCUCAUCCCAAUUUCCGUUCAUUUCAACAAAUGCGAGUGUGUGCCAUCUUCGCACUUCACCUCUAAGAGAGAAUGGAAAAAGAUUCCACUUGAACCAAGUAGCCAAAACUCCUUCUUGUUGCACCAUGUUGCAUAUCAUCGUGAAUCGCUUAGUGUAUCUAUAUGGGUUGUCGUCCUCCAAUCCUCUGAAAAGGGUUUGCGCCGCCACCAACUUGAUGAUUCCAUGCUUCAAUUCAUAGUGAGUUGUAGCAAGCUCCAGAUCUGAUUUUUGCAUCUCAAAGUCCUCUGAUGAUGGCAUUGCUAAUUCCCUCAGUGACAUUUCUUCUUUUCCCUAUGGUAAGAUGAACAGAUCCAUCUAGGCACUGAAAAGAAAAAUAAAAAUAAAAAGAUUCUACACAAAAUUUAAGUAUUAGCGGGUUAGCAAAAUCAAUACAAAGAUCAAACACAGCAAACUGACUUGUUUCCUGGCAACGACACCAAAAAAGCUUAUUGACGGCAGUUAGCGCGCCAAUUCGUGAACCGCAAGCGCACGGAUUAGCUGUAGCUUUUCCCUUAGAGUAUUCUUCCAAGGUUUAUCAAUCCGUGGAAGAAGUGGAUUGCUAGGUCUCACUUUAUACAAAUCUUGCUAAUGAAACUGAGUGUAUGUAUUCUGCAGAGAGACAAACUAAACUAAUAACAGUAACACAAGAUAGGAGAUAGAGAUAGAUAUAAGCAUUCCCUCCAUAGAAUCUAGGUUCACAAGAAUAUGAAUCUACUACACAAAUGAGUGCUGCCUCACUAGCUAUCACAACGGUUACGUGCCCGUUCGGUUUUUUCCCCACUGCAUACUAUCACUACACACGAAUACUCAACUGCCUUGCUCACACACACUAUAUCAAAGCAUCCGCAGAGUUAAGCUAAUCACUACAAUUACCAAAAACUCUUCUAAGAACAUAUGUUGUACAGAAUAAGAGCUCACAUAUGUAAAUGAAGCAUUGCAAUGACAUAGACCAUGAUGCAUUAAUAUGCAUAAAGAACAUGUAGCAGUUACAUAUCAAGGACCAUAACAACCCUAGGGAUGAACAAAGGCUUUACCCCAUGAUUUUACAUAUGUUGAUGGAUAAAGAGGGUAUGGAGCACCUAGAGAACACCCUGAACGAAGACGAAGAUGAGAGGAGGCACGAGGGACUCAGGCCGAUCGACCUGAGCCACCCCAGGCCGAUCGGCCUAGGGGUUUUUGAUAGGAACCCGCUAGGGUUGAUUUCCAAUCUUUCGAUGAGAGGACAUAGGAUAACUCAAUUGGUGGAUGGAGAUGAUGUUCAUGACCUGAUUUCCUUCAAAGUUGUGCCUUAGCAACCGAUACACAACCUCCAAUGGCUGCCACGAUAUUGUGGCCUGCGUCACCCGGCCACUAGGGCACUCGUCCUACCAGCAAUCAAUGAACUAGUAAGAACAAGUAUAACAAGUAUUGAAUUUACUAGAUGAAGAUGAAGGUUUCAAAGUCAAUCUCAAAUAAGGUGGGGUUCCGAAGAUAAGAAGAUGGGUGGCUGAUCCAGCACGCGCGCUUACAAGCAAGUAGCGAGAGCUAAACUUGAUCUAAAUAAAAUCCAAUCUAUUUGUGGUGGCUCUAAUCCUUAUUAAUAACCUCUUGGUAGUAAUUCGGUUAUUACAGCUGCCUCAUAAUAGAUAUGGACUUGAGUCUGGAUCUAUAUGAAAAUAUAUUUCAUAAGGAUUCCAAGGAGAACUUGAACGCCCAAAACGGAGUCUGGAUGAGGUCGUGGCGGCCGUCGCAAGUUGGCACAGUGCUACAGUCCGAAUCCAGCCCCAGAAUGUAUUGGAUUGGAUCUCUUUCUUUCCUUAGGCCAAAAGUGACGUGGUGGCUUGGUGGUGGACAUUGGGAAUAUUUGGACUUGUCUCCCAAUUAACUUCUUUGGUCCUUCAUGCCUUCCAUGCAUGUUUAACACUCCUUUUGAUCCACGUAUGUAUUUCUGAAAAUGACAACGAACACACAUCAUGGUGCAGCAUCACUUUAUCAAAUGUACCAAAUACAAUCAUGGUAAAGAAUUAUUUUACGUAUGAAUCAAAAGUUGCUAAUGUGGUUCUAUCUGAGAUGGUGAUGUCCUCAUCAGUUUCCUCCCUCCUCUUAAGGUCCCCUUUGAUGAGGAAACUCCUGAUCAGAUCUAAUCCCUAUUUCUUCUCUUGUGGCGGCGGCUAGGUCUAAACUCGUUGGAAUCCACCUCCUUGUUGAAAGUCCUUGGUAUUUAUAGUUGGCAAUGUCAGUUGAGGUUCCUUUGAAGCCAAGUUUCUAGAAAAUAACCCUAGGAACAUCGUGGGUUUCUUCCUAGUGAAAGGGCACGACAUCGGGGCCAGAAAUGGGUUAGGCUGAUCGGCCUGGACCCCUUUGGGCCGAUCAGCACACCCUAUAUUGGCCUCCAAUGCUCAAGCACUUCAUUCAAAAGUUGUAGAUCUCAUCGAGCUAUGCAAUUUUCCCUUUAAAUGCGCCCCAAUCGGAGUUCGGUUGAGGAAAAAAUGGCUCAUGCAUGUUUUAGCUCCUCCUGUGGGCUUGCAGUUCAAUGUUCAUAUUUAGGCCUUCCAAUAUCCAUAGUUCGGGCCCAAUUCUAACUUGUAGAAAAGCCCUUUAAUUAUAUUGUAUUUCCUGUGAUUUUGCAAUAUGCUCUAAAAUACAACAGUUAUGCAAUAAUGGGGUUAUUUCAAGUGCCAAGUGGCGGGUUAGUAUAAGAAUAUACAUGAAAACACUAGUUAAAUGACUCUAAAAGUGUGUCAAUAACGAUACUCAACACCGACAGGGGUGGAAAAUAGGCAUAGGCUCUGGCCAAGCCAUUCGAGACCCUUUCGGAAGCCGCCGUUCCCCCCGGAAGCUUCGCCCUCCUAGGGGCAGGGGGGAGGGAGCGAAUGGGGACCCCCAGUCAGUUCCCUGAGUGAGACCUCCGAUUAAAAGCUCUUUAACCCUAUGCAUCAUCUAAAGGGAAAAGGUGAUGCUAGCGUCAUCACUGAGCACAGAGGGAGCUGGGACCAUGUUUGAGGUAAAAGGAAGCACCACACGGAGCUUCCAUAUUCUCCCUAGGUACGGAGGUCCUUCGUACCUGGGGAAAGGGAGGGAGAGGCAAUUGGCCCUAUUGCCCAUAGGGUUGCGCCCCGGCGGGUCUGGACAUGCAGGUCCGUACCGGGGGUAUAAGGGUCCUUUGCCUGAAAAGGUCCCGUCCCUUAGGGCUAUAAAUAUGAGGGCUAUGGGCUCAAUAAACACACAACAUUCUAGCCACUCAGUCCCUUAUAAGCUCUUUGGACAAGUGUCUUAUUCUAGAGUCACCCUCUACUGUUUGGGUAUUUUGUAACCACCAACAGUUGGUGCCAUCUAUGGGGACAUAAGUGACUGAGAAGCCACAUGGCGCCGCAGCGACGGAAGGGGAAGGGAUCCACAAAGGGAAGGGAGCCAUAGACCUUUUGGUGGAUCCCUUCCCCAUGACGACCACUUAUCCCUCCGACACGGCGGCUCCGGGAGGCGGGGUGGCUGCCGGAGCUAACCUGGAGAGGGUUGACCUGGGAGCCAAUGAGGAGUUGGCUGGUGUCAGUGACGACAACCAAAAAAAUAUGGGAAGAACCUUCGGCUGGGAAGGAGGAGAUGGGAGAUGCCUCCAGCCUUGAAGCUGCUGGCUCCCGGGAGGAGCGACUAACUCAGGAGACGGCUAGCCAGGAAGCCAUCAACAAGGAGGCACGAGCCAGGGAGGAGGAGUACCUAUGCCAGUGAGCCGAAGCCAUGCGACGGGCUAGGGAGCUCUGAAGGAGCUAGAAGCCCUCCAGUCGGCCAAGGCCCAUCGGGAUACAUCAGGGAUAGGGAGCGUGGGCGAGCCGAAGCAUCCCACCAGCCAGGUCAUAUCCGAUGGCCAUGCCAGAAGGAAUACCCUCUACGAACCCAAGCCCCCCUAUCCCCCAGCGUCCAAUCCAUCAGUUGGCCACGAGGGUUCAAAAUGCCCGCAGAUUUCCCCCUAUGACGGAAAGACUAACCUAAGGCCUUCGUCAUGAGCUUUGAGGCUGCCAUCCAGUCGGUCGGAGGUGACAAGGCCAUCAUGGAAAAGAGCUAUGUGAUGGCUGUAACGGGCAUCGCCAUACCUGGUACACCACCCUCGAAGUCGGGAAGAUCUUCUCCUAGGAGCAGCUACGGGAGGCCAUGCUGGAAAACUUCUAGGGGAACUAUGACGAUCCAGUCACUUUCGGGCAUAUCUUCACAGUCAAGCAAGGGAGGACAGAGAUGCUCAGGAGCUUCGUCAAGCGCUUCAUCAACAUGAAGUGUUAGGCAAGUGGCCUAAGUGAGAGGACCAUCAUCAACGCAUCCCAGGAGGGGCUGCACCAUAGUCUAGGUGGGGGGGGGGGACACCAGGAGAGGCACAACGGAAGCUCCCCUCGGAGUCCUAUCCCAAGAAGCAGGAGAGAAGGUAUCACGACUCCAUUCCGGAUCGUCCCCGGAAGAAGGACGACCAGUCCAAGCGGUGGGACAAAGCCCAUCGCCCCUACCGGAAGGUCCAAACAGUGUAGGCCUCCCGAGGAUGGGAGGAAUCUCAAGGGGAUCGGAAGAGGGAGAGGACCUCAGACACCCAGAAGCCCUCCUCCAUACCUCAGAACUAUAAGCCUCAAGCGACGUCGAGCCAGACCCAUUACAGGGAUUCGUCAAAACCAUACUGCAUCAUCCACAAACACUGGGGAAGGCACACCACUCGAGAGUGUCCCUCCAUCAACGCGAAGGCCGAGGCACGCCGCCUCCGCCCGGAAGGCCUCCACUCCAGCAAGGCCAGUCGUGCACACCGCCUAGCCUCCACCCAUGGGCUGGGUUAGCAUGUCUCUAGUGCUGAUGCCGCACUCCGCUCAUCCAUGGCUGCACCCGGCAGCAUACAGGAUGCUGCCACAACCACCACCACCACCACCAGGGCAACCACAAGUCCCUCUGCCAGCUCCAAAGCAGGAGGCACUGAUUUGGGACGUGCAUCAUGUGGUGGGGUCUCACCGUGUAGUCCUCCUCAUCUCCGGGGGGAUCCAUUCACGAGGUCCAGCAUGUGACGUCAAGACCAGCAGUCCCGCUUCCCUACUAUGGCACCGUCCCGAUCACCUUUGGGGUAGAGGAUUGCCACGUGCCCUUCUACUCCCAUGUUGAUGCUUUCAUCAUCUCAGCCAACGUCACCAGGGUUGAGAUCCAGCGUAUCCUCAUCGACGACAGGAGCUCUGCGGAUCUCCUCUUUGCCUCAGCCUUCCACAUGGGGCUCUCCCGGACCCAGCUCACCCGUGCCGGAACCUCCCUACACGGCUUUGCGGGGGCAGGGUAGGCAGUCGAAACACCGGGACAGAUCGAGCUGCUGGUGUCUUUCAGCUUCGAAGAAUACGCCCGCAUGGAAAACAUCAUCUUCUAAAUUGUUGACAUGCCCUACUAGUAACAACGCCAUAUUCGGGAGGUGCCUUCUCAAUGCAUUCUACGCUAUCCCCCACCAUGGUUUCCUGUGCAUGAAGAUGCCGAUCCCAAAGGGCACCAUCAAGGUGUUGGGGGACCAAGAGCUCGCCAGGCUCAUCGAGAUUUGGUGUGCGCUGGGGUAGGGGGAGGUCAACGAACUGGCGCUAGUUCCACCAAAAGGGGGUGGGGACGGUUGUCCACGUGCUUCAUUCCAAAGGCUCAUCUUGAAGGGGAAAUCAAGACUGUGGCCCUGUGGCCAGAUAAGCCCGAGAUUAUGGUGCAGCUGGCGACUGACCUCCUGGAACACAUGGAGGUGGCACUCUUGGAUUUCCUUUGGAAAAACAAGGAUGUCUUCACGUGGACCCCCUUUGAUCUCCAGGGAAUUGACCAGGACUUGAUCCAGCACCACCUCAAUGUCGAUCCCAAGAAGAAGCCCCGUAAGCAAAAGGUGCGGAAGAUGUCAAUGGAGUGGAAAGAGGUGGCUUGCAUCGAAGUGCACAAGCUACUGGAUGCCAACGUGAUCUGAGAAGUCAUCCACAUGGAGUAGCUUGCCAACCCGGUCCUGAUGAAGAAGAACAAUGGCAAGUGAUGCAUGUGCGUCGACUUCACCGAUCUCAACAAGGCAUGCCCCAAGGAUGACUUCCCUAUCUCCUGCAUUGACUAGAUUGUAGAUUCUACCUCCCUAAGUGAGCGGCUACCACCAGGUGUGGAUGGCGGAAAAUGAUGACCCUCGGACCACCUUCAUCACUCUAUUUAGGGCAUAUUGUUUCGUACACAUACCCUUUGGCCUCAACAAUGCGAGGGCCACCUUUGCGCGUCUGGUACAGCUGGUGUUCGACGUCCAAGUAGGGAGGAAUCUGGAGGUGUACGUUGACGACAUCAUCGUCAAAAGCAAAGAUGAGCAAGAUCACCUUUCCAAUAUAAGGGAGACUUUCGGAAACCUCCAGUGGACAGGACUCCGCCUAAACCCCGAGAAGCUGACCUUCAGAGUGCACUUUGGCAAGCUGCUAGGUUAUCUCAUUUCCCAGAGGAGGAUUGAGGACAAUCCCGAAAAGAUUCAAGCCAUCCGUGAAAUAGAGCCCCUGAACAACGUGCGAGAGGCACAACGCCUCACUGGGAGGCUACUGACCCUGAGCCACUUCAUCGCCAGGUCGGUGGAGAGGAGCCUUACCUUCUUCGAGGUGCUAAGGGCCUCUGUCCCAUUUCGAUGGAUGGAAGAGCAGCAGUGAGAUUUCCAAGACCUCAAGAAGUACCUGGAGCACCCGGAGGUACGAACCAGCCUCACUCCGGGGGCUCCGCUCUUGCUGUACAUAGCCGCCACGGAGGGGGCGGUGAGCGCAGUCCUAGUGGAGGAAUGCUCCCGAGAUGGAAGGGAAGAGCAAGCUUCGGUCUUCUACAUGUUCGAGGCCUGGCGAGGGAAAGCUGCGUUACUCCGAGUUGGAGAAGAUGGCCUAUGUCGUGGUCAUGGCCUCGUGCAAACUCAAGCACUACUUCAUUGCCCAUCUGAUCACCAUCCCGACAUCGUACUCACUACUCGACGUUCUUGAGAAUCGAGAGGCCAUCGGUCACAUCAGCAAAUGGGCGGCAGAGUUGGCACCCUUCACACUCUCAUUUGUCGCCCGAAAUGCAUCAAGUCACAAGCAGUGGUGGAUUUCAUCGUCGAUUGGAAGCCCACCAUGCUAGUCGGCAGUCCUCCAAUGACGAAGCCUGUCUGGACAGCUUUUGUCAAUGGGGCCUGGGGCACCUUCGGGGAUGGGGCUGCGGCCAUCUUGUCAUCCCUAACAGGACAAGAGAUACAAUAUGCUCUCUGCCUCGACUUCCCUUGCACCAACAACACCGCGGAGUAUAAGGUGCUCGUCCUCGCUCUAUAGAAAUCCUUAGCCUUGGGGGCAUGGAGGCUCCUCGUCAAGAGUGAUUCCCAGGUUGUCACGCUCCAGGUAGAAAAGGAGUAUCAGACAAGAGAGCCAGAACUGGUGGAGAAUUUGCAUGUGGUUCGGAACCUGGAGCACAAAUUCCAAGGCUUCACCGUCAUGCACAUCCCCAGAGCAAAAAAUGAACCCGCCGAUGCAUUAGAGCCACCCAAGGGACCCCACUCCCACCGGAGAUCUUCUUCCAUGUCACCACCCCCGGUGCUGUUGGUUCUUUAGCAAAGACUGGCGCUUCCCCAUCAUCGCGUUCCUUGAAGAGUGGUACACUCUCGAAGAUCACACAGAGAUGCACCAUCUGCAACAGCGGAGCCACAACUACCAGCUCAUGGACGGAACCCUCUACAAGGUGGGGGUGUGCGCCCCACUCUUGCGGUGUAUCCCAAGGGAGGAGGGGUGCUAGAUGCUGGAAGAAAUGCACGCUAGGUCUUUCGGGGCACACUCGGCAUCCAGGGCCCUAGUCGAGAAGUCUUUCUGACAAGGAUUCUACUGGCCAGCUAUGGUGGAACUGCCCAAAUUAACCCGGCUAAAGUGUUCUCAACAUCACCUCAAAUGCGAACCACACUUUAAUCAAGUCCAUUCGGUAGUCCUUCGGGUUAUACCCGAUAAACCACUUGUUUUGGAUCGAACGAAAAGCAUCUCACAUGAAGGUGAGUCUAGAGAUUACAACAUUCUUGUACUUAAAGCAUAGAUCCAAAUUAAGUUAUUACACACCCACUGUUCGAAAGUGCAUAAGUAUGAUGUUUAGAGUUUCAAAGCAGUGGAAAACGAUAACAACUACGCGUCAAAAUAGGGAUGCCAUGGUGAAGCCUGCCAUGUCAUCAGUUACCGCGAUCCUCGCCGAUCGAGGAUGGGUCCUAAUCGACCGUCCAACUCGAAGGUAGCCGGGUCGGCCAAGUUACACAAGCAGCAAACUCCUCAACAUCUAAGUUACCUGAAAGUAAAGCCACAAGCAAGGCUGAGUCUACUAAUACUCAACAAGACUUACCCGUCAGGUGGUAACUACUCCACCAACUUCUAGACAUGCAAGGCUUUUUAGCUGAGGGGUUUGUUUUGCUAAAAGCAUCAAAAGUAAGUACUUACUUUCAAGUUUUAGCAUUAGGUUUUAGUUGAUUAACCAUUCUAGAUAAACACCUACUCUAAACAAACAUGGUGAACAAGCAAUUUAGACAAGCAUCAAUAUUAUUUAUCAUACUUGUUCUUCUUCUUACUCAGUGUAGCAUAGUGAUCAAGCAGUCUCAAACUGUGAGAGGCAAAUGAUUCAAAUCAAGUGUUUUAACCUUGCAAGGUGAACAUAAACCCCACAAUAUAUGCUACUGCCGCACCGGGUUCACAUAUAUCAGCCGUCCCCAUCAAUUCGUGGUGUUUGUCCAGAGCCCACUUCCCUUGAAUACAAGGCCCCACCGGUUCUGGGAUGUCGCCGUACCGUGGCUGCACUUGUACCCACAUGAGGCCUCAUGGGAACUCGGUUCCAGAGAGAGCCGGUUAAAGGUUCACGCCGAUUCAAUUAGGUACUAGGCUUCCCCAUCCCAUACUAGGUAUGAGCUUAGUACUUUCAAACACUUGAGCACGAACACCAUCAUGGUUCGACCUUAGCAUAUUUUUUCACUAGACAGACAGGGCAAUCCACCAAUCCAGAACAUAUAGCCCAGCCCCACCUGUCGAUCAUUAUGAUUUCAACAUAAGUAAAUAGGCAACUCCUAUAGCUCACGAGUGACAGGAAAUCACUCGACUUUUACCGUGUCCCUAUUUAGCAUAGCAACUACAUGACUUAAAAUACUAGUAUUCAGCACAUAGGUACCUAGGAUCAUGCAACUAAGGUUUCAAGCAACUUCUAUGAACUUAAUGCACAAACAUAAGUAACACAAGUAGUGCAUAAAUUUAGAAAUCUGGGUUAUGCUCUGGGGCUUGCCUUUCUGAACUAUGUUAGUUAGCAGGUCGUUGGAAGCUUCGGGAAUCUCCUGCGUGGCCUCGACAUGGUGCAGCUCUACAGAUCCUUCCUCGGCAGCAGGCGUCAACUCGUUGGUCCCGUCUGCGAGGUUCGCUUCUACACGAGAUGUAAUGCAAUGAUUCAAUAUCUCUACCUUUUAUGGUCUGACAGGCAUUUCAAUUAUUAUGACAAAGUAAAGCUAAAUCAGGACUAACUUCACCUAGACAAGUGCCUAAUUACUUUUCUUCAUAGUUUAAAGUGUUUUUGCGAUUUAGAUACCUAGUUCUAGUUCGAUGGGGAUUGUACACAUAUAUGUAUAACAUGUUCAUUAAACUUUAGAUUGAAGGGUUAUCCUAUUUCUAAAUGUUUUUCCGUACCUCUUCCACUAUUUACCAUUUUACCCUUCUUAUUACUUAUUGUGUUUUUAUUCAUUUAUUCUUGGUUUAACUUCCAAAAUUUGUCUCUGCAUGCAAACAGUGAGAUAUGGCAUAGAACAUUUAACAGGAAUUUAACCAAGUCAAAAAUAAGCUAUUGUAAAAAAAAUUUGGAGCUCACUAGACUUUGACAAAAAGCAUUAAAAUUACACCAAGAUCCUAUGGUUGAAAGCACUUAACUAUUUUUAUCUCAAAAUCUACAGAGAAUUUGUUUCUGAAAUUUCAACAGUGUGUUAUACAGGUGCAACAGACCUACAGUGAAUUUUCCACGAUUUUUUGUGAAGGACAUCUAUUUUCCAUAUUUUUCUAGUAUUUAACUUUGCAUAAAAAGGAAAACAUGUUUCAUGGGUGAUCUAACAGAGGUGGUUUCAUAUUUUUCUUUGACAGAUCCUAUUACUUCUACAAAAAGUAAAAUCUUUCACUAGAUUUCAAAGAUAAAUCUAAAGCAGUGUGUAAAACAUCUAAACUAGGGUCACAAAUAUUUCUCCUAGCACAAGCUCAUUGUGUUAAAGCUAACGGAGCUAGUUUUGUUAUUUUACCAUUUUUGGGUGAUUUACCAAGCAUUUAAAGGAUUAAACACCAACUAAAAUCUACUGCUAAACACAGAUCAGAAACAUGCGUAUGAGUAUUUUUAAAUGAAACUAAACAUCACCAGGAACCUAGCAAAACAAGAAUAUUUCCCAUUUUUCUAUAUUUUUCUAUGCCCUUUCAAAGUUUCAACCUUUUUAGAUCUAAGAAAUAAAGAAAACUAAGGUCAACUUGCAAACUAGCCCCUAGAUCUAUGGUUUAAUUGCGCAAAGGUCCCUGGAUUUCUCCCAUAACCCCCUAACCUUUCUCCUUCUUCUCCAACGAGAUCCCCCACGCAUACGAAUCACAGGCACGGCAACAGACAUGGCGCACGGCACUUGGGCCGGCCGGGAACAGGGGGAAGGGAAGGGGCGUGGCUUGGGGGAGAGAGAGAGAGGGGCGGAUCCACUUCGGAUCUACUUGGUUAGACAUGAUUUAGCCGCCUAAUAUGCGACGCUCAUGCCUAAGCCGAGUAAACACGAAGUGCCGUCGGAUUUUCCUCCGAUUUAACCACUUGAACAUGACCAUUUUAGCAGACUCACACGAAGGUGAGCGGUUCCAGAGAGUACAACAAGUCCACAAGUUAACCAUUAACCACUUAGUUUAGUUACGAAAGAACAUCAGAGUUUUACAAGAUUUCAGAAAACAACAGAAGGUAAAACACUAGCGGAAGCAAUCGUCGGGUUCGGACGUCCUGGUGAGGCCAGCCGGGACAUCACUGAUCCCUUUCCUCACCGUCCGAGGAGGGAUCCCACUCGACCGUCCAACCCGGAGGGAGCUGGGGCGGCCAAGUGCCAGCAGGGGAAGGGUCGGGAGUAGCGACUUCACCUGAAAAACAGGAGCCACAACAAGGCUGAGCCACUAAGCUCAACAAGACUUAACCGACAGGAGAAGCUACUCCACACUUCUAGACAUGCAGGGCCUUUUGGCUGAGGGGUUUUGUUGCCAAAAGCGCUAAGUAAAAACCCUAUUUUCAAGUUUUAGCUCUCGUUCUAGGUUCAUUAACCGGUCUAGGUUUUGCAACCUAUUCUUAAGCAAUCAUAGAACCAAACAAGAUAUGUAGAUAUAUCAACAAACAUGUCAUCAUCAGAUUCCUCAUUUACUCAGGGUGACAUAGCGAUCAAGCAAUCUCAAACUGUGAGAGGCAGCCGAAUCGAUUCGAGUUCUUUAACCAUGCAUGGUGAACCUAACCUCACGACAUCCGCGCACCCGGAGGUCACUUCCUGUGUCGGCCUUCCCCAUCAAUCCCUUAACCCGUGUCGGGCCCAUUUCCUUUGGUGCAAGGUUCCACAGACCCGGCCUCUGCCGUCCUGUGACCAUGCUUGCCACCACGUGCGACAACCAGCAGGGGAAACUCCGUUCCAAGAACAAUGGGGCGACCGCUCACAUCUAGGUUCAAUCCGGUACUAGGCUUCCUCAUCCCAUACUAAGUAUGAGGUUAGUACUUUCAAACACUUGAUCACGAACACCACCACUGUCAGGCCUUAGCAAGUUUUCAUAGAUAGAUAGGGCAACCAUCCAAUCACCAAAGACUUACCUAAAACCCUGCCCCGUCCAUUGUCCUUAUAGUUGUAACAGAAGGGUAGACAUCCAACUCCUACAACUCGCAAGUGACAGGAGAUCACUCGACUUUUACCGUCUCCUAGUUAAGCAAAGCAACUACUCGGUCCAACAGCUAGUGCUCAGAUCAUGGGGAUAACUAAGUCAUGCCUCUAGGGUUUCAAACAACUACUGUACGUAAAUGCACAAGCAUGUUACAGAAGGCAUGCGCAAGUCUGGUAAAACACACAGGGUUUUCAUGCAACCGGGGCUUGCCUUCGAGCAAAGAGGAGGGGAACUGCUCGACUUCGAGGGCGGCUUCGGCUUCUGGGGGCAGGAGCUCAGCUACAGCUUCAUCUUCUGGUGCCGGGUGUAACUCGUAGAAGCUGUCGGCGAGGCGCAGCUCUACAUGAAUGCAAUGCAAGAGUUAGCAUAGACGGUUAUUUCAACAGCAACACUUGCUCGCCUGAGCCCAGAAACUCGCGACAAAGAGCAGGAGGGGGUGGAGGUUCAAGGAGCUGGUGGAGAUCAACAGGUAAGGGUUGGAAAGGAACUUAUGAUCUGAUCCUUGAACUAGAGGAUGUGGUAUACUAGGGAUCCUCAGACGCAAGCGCUGAAGGGUUCCUAAGUUUUACACAUACACCCUCGGGUUGAAGAAAAAGAUCACAGCCGAGCCCUCGGGCGAGGUGGAUAAGGGUCGGCGGAACAGAUAGGGUCGGGCGAGACGGAACCGGGGUCGGGCGGAUAAGAGGGGUCGGGCGAAGCGGACUGGGGUUGGCAACUUACCUUCUUCUUCCUACGAGGAAAGCUUGGGGUCGGGAGAAGCAGACUUGGGCGGAGGGACUAAGGCUUUGAACAACGGCUAAGUCCGACAGUGCUCCGGCGGCGGCGGUGCUUCUUGUGGAUCACAAGUGAGCUUUUACGCAGCACGGAGGAGCAAGCGGCUGUUGUGGCUUGGGGAAAAACGGAGGGGAGCUUAGAGGAGGGUUCCUCAGGAACUUAGGGGUGGUGCUAGGAGCUUGAGCAGGGAGCAAGAGAGAUGACGGAAGGCAACAAUGGCGGAGGGAACUCCGGCGGGCUCGCGCAUUCCCUUUUAUAGCGGCUGGGACGGGGGAAGGGGAGCGGCGCAGGAGCGAGAAGGGGAGCGGUGCGAAGGCCGGGGAGAAGCAAUGGAGUGCUCUGCCGGGACGGCGAUUGAGCGACGAGGGCGGUGGUGCAGGACUUCGGGGAUGACGCCAGCGGUCACUGGGUUCUGGCGUCAGGGCGGCGCAUGAACGAUCAUGCCGGUGGUUGAGAUUUGGCGGAGGCGGGCGUCGCCGUGUGGUGGAUUUGAUGGACGUGACCGGGUUAACGGCGCUAGAAUCGAGGGUGCACAGGUAAGAAGACAGGCAGCCGCGGGCGCGCGGGCGAGCGUGGAGCAACAGAUUGUCGGGCGGCUUCUGACAGGGCGGGGAAAGGAGCUGUCGCUGCCAUGGUCGGGGUUGGUGAAGGAGGAAUCGUCGGGUAGCGAAGACCAGGCGGCGCGACUGUGUUCGAAGUGACGGAAAAGACGAGCGACAUCGGGCUCUGCAGCCGGGAUCUGGCGGUGUGAUGAUGGGCGCGGGAGGCGAGGCGCGGCAGAAAGGUUGCAGAGGGGCUUCCGCUGCCAUUGGGGAAGGAGCGCGAGAAUCCAUUCGGUCGCAGGUCAGAGAUGAGGCUGAGCGGCGGGCGUCGGAGAAGAUGAGCCACGCGGCGGGGGGGGGGGGACUCUGGAGCGGGCAUGCAACUCGAGUGCGCCUGCCACGGAAGAUCUGGGGGAAAAAGAUCUCGCGGGUCCACUGGUCAGAUAGAACGGACGUUUGAGAAAGACUUAGAAGGAUCCGACGGUGGGCUGGUUUUGGCGGGGUCGGAACCGAAGCAAGGCGGGGAGGGGUCGGGUCUCAGGGGUCGGGACCGAUCGGAAGAUUGAACACUUAGGCGCGGAAAAAAACUAGACAGAUGAUCAGGGGCUAGGAUUAAGAUUAACCCGGGAGAUUUGGGUCGGUCGUCACAGGCUGCCCACAGCGUGAGAGCCUCACCAGCAGGGUCUGGCGACGAGGAAAGGCGCGACGCAGUGGAGUUCCAGGAGGUAGCGGAUGGACAGGGAGGGGCUCGCCGUGGGGAGCAUGGUCCGGCAAGGGAGGGCGGCCGGGAAGUGGCAAAACAGAUGCGCGGUGGCUUGAGGAUGCGCCUGGCACGAGGAAUUGGCCGGUGGCUGCCCGACAGUGACGAAUUUCAUCAGCAAAGAAAGAGGGAAACUUGGAGCUUGGUUAGUGGCAAUGGUGGUUUGGGAGGGGGAAAUAGUUCUGGAGGGUCUAGCACUGCUUUUAAGGGCCAGGGGGAACGGAUAGGAACGACACGGUGACACUGGAUGGCCAUUUGCGGCAAGGGCGAGUGCCGAGCAUGGCGGCCCCGUGGCGGCGCUUCUGUCCAUGUGGCGCUCAUGCCGUGCAUGCGGAGCUCUGCCCAAUCGGGUGCGAGGAGUGGCGUGGGACGAGCAGGGCUUCACAUGGGCAUCGUUAGGGUGGCCAAUCGGCGGGGGAAAGGUUGUUGGCACCCCCUAAUGGCGAGCGGCACUGCUGUGCUGCCCAACUGGUAGCAGACAGAUUGGAGGAGGCAGGUAGAAGAAAACUUCCAAGUGGGCCCGCGGUAUUAAACAAAAGCCCAAAUUUCUCCACUCAUUUGACAUAGCUAUACUAGUUCAAAAAUUCUCUAAAAAUACUUGUUGGAAAGAUAAAAUCACAAAGAUUCAAAUGCCACAAAAAUCAACUCAAGAGCUGCUAUGGUUUUUACGCAAUUGACAAAACAAAACAGCUAGAUUUGAACUUUAAAUGAAAUUUUUGCAUAAGCAAACAUCUCUGAAAAAUUUGGUAAAAAAUAUUUUAAAAUCACUAAAUAGUAUCUAGUAUUUAAAUAGAAUAAAAGGAGGCAUAGCUGUAAAUAAAAACUUGGGGUUUCUUCACAAGUUUGAAUUUUUAACAAUAAACAACAAUUAUGUGAAUUUAACAAUGCAUAACUUAUACUCAAUUUUGAACUUCCUCUCCUCAAAAUCAGAAGUGGUAAUAACAGAAGUUGUUUGUUUUGAAAUAUUCUACAACUUUUAUAUUAGCCAAAAGUUGAGUUCUUAUAAUAAAAUUCAUUUUUAUUUGCUUUCCAAGUGCUUUAGUAAAAGGUGUUCAGCACUUAACCAUUUUGAUUUUGCUUUGAUUUAAACUCAAUUUUUCUUGACGUGGCUCCUAAUUACCAGGGAUGUCACACCUACUACGCUCCGGGAUGCCCAAGAGAUUGUCAAGCAUUCCGAUGCCUGCCAAAGGAUGAGCAAGAUGAGUCGGCUCCCCGUAACACUGCUCCAGCCCUUGGCUCCUAUCUGGCCGCUCGCACGGUGGGGCAUCGACAUUGUGGGACCUCUCCCCACUACACGGGGAGGCUUCCGUUUCGCUGUGGUAGCAGCGGAAUGCUUCUCCAAGUGGGUAGAGGUGGAACCCGUCACUGCAAUCAAGUCCGUCAACAUCAUCAAAUUCUUUUGGAAGGACAUCAUGUGCCGUUUCGAGGUGCCACGGGAAGUCACUAUGGAUAACGGAAAGCAGUUUGAUUCAAAAUGGUUCUGGAACUACUGCGAAGACCUAGGUACGAAGGUCUGCUUUGCCUCAGUGUACCACCCACAAUCCAACGGGGCAUGUGAACGUGCCAACGGCAAUAUCUUCGCAGCAAUAAGCAAACCCAUCUUUGGUGAACCCAAGGGCAUGUCGGCCGAUGAGCUCCCGAACAUAUUAUGGGCUCAUCGCACAUCUACAUUGCACCCCACCAGAUUCACCCGCUUCCAACUUCUGUUUGAAGAAGAGGCCAUGACCCCGGAAGAAGCCUUGCAUAGCUCUUUACGAGUCAUGCAACCAGCUGAGAAGGGAGAGGAGGCGGCAGCGAAGGAGCUGUUGGAGGAAACGUGAAUCCAAGCCAUGGCCAACCUCGAGAAGUACUAGGCAGAGACAAGGGCUUGGCGUGACAAGAAGAUGCAAAACUGUGUGUUCACCGAAGGAAACUUGGUACUAGAUCGUCGGAGGAAUUCUGACACUUUCGGCAAGUUCGAAAGCAAGUGGGAAGGGCCCUUCAUCGUUGCCACCAACAGCUGCCCGGGGAGUUACCGCCUCACUUCCCCAGAUGGGGAGGAAGACCCCCACUAAUGGAAUGCAAACCUCUUGAUCCGGUACUACCCCUGAGCUUGGGUAGCAUAGGCAGGGUCUGCGCACGGCCCAUCCCCGGUCGGAAGGCAAUUGCCACUGCGAGCUUUUAUUUUUCCCUGUUUGUAGCCAUAACUUGUUUUUGAUCUAUUUUUUCCCUUAAUUUUGCUUUUGCAAGCUAACCGCUGGGGUAGCACGGCAGAUCUUCCAUCGUUUAGCUGUCAGUGGCAUCUUCUGGCCGCUACCAAGAGGUAGGGCAUCAUAAGGUUGUAAGGGCUACCAUGCCAGUCAUCGUAUCAAUGUAGUUUCAGCUUGACAGCAUCCCGCUGCUCCUUUACAGAAGCCAUGCUUCCCGAUGAGUCGCAUUGGGUAGCUAAGGUGUGGUGGAACACCUCGGAUUAACUUAGCUAAAGCACGGUUAAGUCGCCUAACACGCGAAUCUCAUGCUUUAAUCAAGUUAACUCGACGAUCCGUCGGAUUUCAUCCGAUUUAACCACUUAAACAGGACCGAGUUAGCAUAGCUCACACGAAGAUGAGUGGUUCCAGAGAAUACAACAGAUCAAAUAAUUAGUCCAAUGAUUCAUUACACACUGGCUCGAAAUCAGAGUUUUACAAGGUUCAAAAGCAAUGGAAAGAUAAAUAGCGGAAGCUAGCGCCGGGGUCGGAUGUCCCUGGUGAGGCCAAACAGGACAUCAGUGAUCCCGCUCCUCGCUGUCCGAGGAGGGAUCCCACUCGACUGUCCACCCAGGAGGAAGCUGGGGUGGCCAAGUGCCAACAGCAGCAAACUCAGAAGCUUCAACUUCACCUAAAAAGAGAGAUGCCACAAACAAGGCUGAGCUUCUAAGCUCAACAAGACUUAACCGACCGGUGGGCAAACUACUCCACCACUCCUAGACAUGCAAGGCUCUUUGGCUGAGGGGUUUUGUUUGCCAAAAAGCGACUGCAGUAGGUCCUUACUUUCAAAGUUUUAGCUCCGGUUCUAACUUCAUUAACCAGUCUACAUUGGCAGCUUAUGCUAAGCAAGCAUAGUUUCCACAACAAGUGUAGAACAAGCAUCGAGUUCAUCUCAUCAUCAUGUUCCAUCUUUACUCAGUGUAGCAUAGCGAUUAAGCAGUCUCAAACUGUGAGAGGCAGAUGAAUCGAUUCGAGUUCCUUAACCAUGCAUGGCGAACCUAACCUCAUGACAUCCGUGCACCACAGAGGGUCACUUCCUGUGUCGGCCAUCCCCAUCAAUUCCCUGACCCGUGUCGGGCCCACCUCUCUUGGUGCAAGGUUCCACAAACCCGGCCUCUACCGUUCUGUGACCACACUUGCCACCACAUGCAACCGCAGGGGAACUCUGUUCCAGAGACAGUGGAUCGAACCGCUCACGUCCAGGUUCAAUCAGGUACUAGGCUUCCCCAUCCUAUAACGGGUAUGAGAUUAGUACUUUCAAACACUUGAUCACGAACACCACCACUGUCGGACCUUAAACAGAUUCAAGUAAACAAAUGGGGCGAACAGCCGACCACCAAAAGAGUUCACUAAACCCUGCCCCGUCCACCGUCCUUAUAGUUGUAACCAGAAGGAGAACAACCAACUCCUAUAACUCGCGAGUGAUAGGAAUCACUCGACUUCUGCCGAGCCCUAUUAAGCAUUGCAACUACUCGGACUCAACAGACUAGUGUUCAGAUCAAGGGAACUAAGUCAUGCAUCUAUGGUUUCAAACAACUCCUAUAAUGUAAAUGCACAUACAUAUGAAGGAAGGCAUGUGCAAGUUUAGAAAGUUGGGUUAUGCUCCGGGGCUUGCCUUCGAGCAGGUUGGAGGCAAACUGGUCCUCUGCAGGUUCUGCUUCAGCUCCUGCGGUCGGCAGCUCAGCUACUGCUCCGUCUUCUGGCGCCGGAUGCAGUUCGUAUGUGCCGUCGGCGAGAUUUAGCUCUACACGGAAGUGCAAAUGCAGGGGUUAAACAUUUAGAUGGUUAUUUCAACAACACUUGCAUGUUUUAGCUCAGACACUUGUAGCAAAGCUACAGGAAAGGUGGAGGGGUCCAACUUCAAUUGGUGGAGAACAGGAUGAAAGGGUCGGAUUGGGAGGAACUUAUGAUCUGACCCUUAGACUUAAGGAAUAACCGUACCGGGGUCCUCAGACUUAACACAGAGAAGUCCCCAAAAUUUUACACAGAUACCCUUGGGUCAAAGGGAAAGAUAUAGCCGAGCCCUCAGGCAAGGCGGAUAAGGGUCAGCGAAACAGACAGGGUCGGGCGAGAUGGAAAAAGGGGUCGAACAAACCGGGAAGGGGUUCAGCAGCUUACCUUUAGGCCUACUGGUGAAGUCUUAGAGUCGGUAAGGAACAGACUUAGGUGGAAAGACUAAGGCGCUAAGGCUUGGAUGGCGGCGAGGUUCGACGGUGCUCCGGCGGUGGCGGGGCUUCUUGUGGACAACAAGCAAGCUCUAGCACCGUGCGGAGGAACAGGCGGCUUGUGGGUUGGGGAGAAGCAGGUUUGAGCGGAGAAGGGAACUUGCUCAAGAGCUUAAGCAGCAGUGCUCAAGUGUGAGCAGAGUAGGGUGAGGCGAAGCAGCGAUGGCGAAGGGAACCCCGGUAGAGGCUAUGGUACUCCCUUUUAUAGCUGCGCGGAAGAUAGAGAGUUUGAGCAAGGCAAAUAUCGGGAAGAAAAGGAUGGAGUGCUCUGCCUUGGUAGCGAUUAAGCGGCGAUGGGCGGUGAAGCAGAGCUUCGGGGAUAGGGUCUUUGGUCAUUGGGCACUGGAGACAAAGCCGGCGCAGGCGUGGUUUUGCCGGGAUUAAGAGUUGGCGAGGACGAGCAUGGUCUGGUCGCGUCAGUUGGCGGAUUGUGGGCGGCGAUUUGACUGGCGUGUGACAGGAAGGAAGGCACUACAAGCGAGGUCGCAGCAGGCGAGGUGACAGGGCGAGUGGCGGCACAAGCGAGCGCAGAACAACAGCUUGCCGGGACACAUCACUGGCGAGGCGGAAAAAGGAGCUGUCUCUGCCGGGGCCGUGGUUGGCGAGGGCGGUAUUGUUGUGGAGUACGCGCAUGGGCGGCGCGACUGUGGAGGACAUCGGGGCUUGCGGUCGGGGAUCCAGGAGAGGUGAUGGGUGCGGGAUGCGAGGCGGUCUGGCGCGGCAACGGCAAAACCUCGACCACAGUGGUGACAGGGCACCUUGGCGCGGCCGGCGAGGGUGUGAGCAAGACAACGCGAGGCAGAAAGGGCUGCAGGGGCUUUCGCGCGCGAUUGGGAGGGAGGCGCGCUGGUCUAUCUUGUCGCGGACGGCGACUGGGCGAGGCAGCGCGCGUCGGAGAGGUUGAGCCACGCGGCGGGGAAGCUCUGAAGUGGAGCGCAUGCUACUCUGGCAUGUUGGACUCGAGAGAUCCGUGCGAUCUGGUUUUGGGUCCACCAUCCAGACUCUGGCUCUCCACAGCUCUAAGAUUUUGGACCAACACUGCCUUUGGGGACUUAGAGAAGAGCUGUCGUUUGCCGGUUGGUACGAUUUUAGGGGUCGGACCGGUGGAAACUAUAGAUUGGGAUUAGUCUUGAGAUUAACUCGGCUGGUUAACCAAGGUCGUUACAGCCUACCCCCCUUAAAAAAAAGAAUCUCGUCCCGAGAUUCGGGUGUAAGGGCAACCAGUGGGGGUGUGCGGUCCUUACCUUCUUGGUUGAAAAGAAAACCUCUGAAGUGCUUUUUUAGAUAUUCCUCUGUUUCCCAGGUUGCUUCUUCCUCCGUGUGGUUGCUCCAUAGUAUCUUGUACAUUUUCACAACUUGCUGUCGGGUGCGUCUUUCCUUACGGUCGAGGACUUUGGCCAGGUACUCGGCAUAAGUCAGGUCGGGUUCGAUCUGAAGUUGCUCCUGUUCCAAUAUCUUGGUUGGGACUUGGACACAUUUCUUUAGUUGGGAUACAUGGAAAACAUCAUGAAUGGACGAAAGUUGUUCCGGUAGUUGGAUCCGGUAAGCAACGGGUCCACAAAUUUCCACAAUCGCAUAAGGACCAAUGUAUCGGGGAGCCAAUUUCCCUUUUACUCUGAAUCGUUGCACUCCUUUGGUCAGGGAGACGCAAAGAUACACGUAAUCACCAAUGUCAAACUGCAGGGGCCUCCUUCUCUUGUCGGAGUAACUCUUCUGUCGAGAUUGGGCUGCCUUGAUAUUUGCUUGAAUUAUCUUAACUUGCUCUUCGACUUCUACUACUAGAUCAGGACCAUAGGUUUGUCUUUCUCCAACCUGUGACCAAUUCAAUGGCGUCCGACACCUCCGACCAUAUAAGGGUUCAAACGGUGCCACCUUCAAGCUAGUCUGGUAGCUAUUGUUAUAGGAUAACUCUACCAAGGGUAAGCACUUAUCCCAAUUCUUGUCAUAAUGGAUGACACAAGCUCGUAGCAUGUCUUCAAGGAUCUGAUUUACUCUCUCGGUCUGACCAUCGGUUUGCGGGUGAUAGGUCGAGCUACGAAUGAGCUUGGUGCCCAGUGAUGCUUGUAGCUGUUCCCAGAAACGCGCUACAAACUGAACUCCUCGAUCAGAUAUGAUCGUCCUAGGCACACCGUGCAGAGAAACAAUGCGGUCAAGAUAUAGCUCUGCAUAUUUCUUGGCCGGGUAGGUGGUGUGAACAGGAAGAAAGUGGGCAGACUUGGUGAGGUGGUCCACAAUAACCCAAAUGGAGUCAUCUCGCUGCGAUGUAGGGGGCAGUCCAACAAUGAAGUCCAUGCUGAUGUCUUCCCAUUUCCAGGAUGGGAUAGGUAGCGGUUGCAGGGUACCUGCUACCUUCAAAUGGCUAGCCUUGACACGUUGGCAGGUGUCACAUUCCGAGAUGUAGCGUGCAAUUUCUGGCUUCAUUCCACUCCACCAGAAAGUUUGACGGAGAUCAUGAUACAUCUUAUUGCUGCCAGUGUAGAUUGAGAACUUGGAGAGAUGAGCUUCAUCUAGGAGUUGCUUCUUAAGAGUGGGGUCGGAUGGAACAACAAGUCGGUUUCCAUAGUACACUCUCUCAUUCUCAUCCUGUCGGAAUUGCUUAUACCCCUCAUCCCUCCGUGCAAUUUUCCUUUUAAUUUGCUUUAUUCCCUCAUCCUCUAACUGCACUGACCCAAUUUGGUCCUCCAAGGCAGACUCAAGGGAAAUAUGAUCGAGGCUUCCAUGGGGAACAAUCUCCAAACUAAGUUUUCUCAUCUCAUGACACAGAGUUUCUGUGGAGUUGAUUACCGACAAGCAAUUGCAAUGGUUCUUGCGACUAAGAGCGUCGGCUACUACAUUGGCUUUGCCAGGGUGAUAAUGUACUUCCAAAUCAUAAUCCUUGAUCAACUCCAACCACCUUCUUUAGCGCAUGUUGAGGUUGGCUUGAGUAAAGAUGUACCUGAGGCUCUUGUGAUCGGUGUAGAUGUUGUAGUGGGUGCCCAUCAGAUAGUGUCUCCAUAUCUUUAAGGCAUGAAUCACUGCUACUAACUCAAGAUCAUGGGUCGGAUAGUUCAGCUCAUGCAGUCGCAAUGCCCGUGAGGCAUAGGCAAUGACACGGUUGUCUUGCAUAAGAACACACCCAAGUCCAGUGCCAGAGGCGUCACAGUACAUGUCAAAUAGCCUGGAAGGGUCGAGUUGGGCUAAAACUGGGGUAGAAGUCAGCAGGUGUUUUAAGGUGUGGAAAGCUUCUUCGCACUUGUGGCUCCACACAAACUUGACUUCCUUUUUCAGUAGCUCGGUCAUCAGCUUAGCUAUCUUUGUGAAAUCCGGAAUGAAAUGCCGAUAGUAGCCUGCUAGUCCAAGAAAACUGCGGAUUUGCUGAACCGAAGUGGGUGCCUUCCAGUCCAUGACCUCCUAUACCUUGCUGGGGUCCACUGCUAUGCCGUUCCGAAAGAUGGUGUGUCCCAAGAACUUAACACUCUCCAACCAGAAUUCACACUUGGGGAACUUGGCAUAAAGCUGAUGAUCCCUCAACCACUGAAGAACCACAUGAAGAUGCUCGGCAUGUUCUUCUUCGUUCUUCGAGUAUACCAAAAUAUCAUCAAUGAACACCACCACGAACUUGUCCAGCUCGGGCAUGAACACCGAAUUCAUGAGAUACAUGAAAUAAGUGGGUGCAUUGGUGAGUCCAAAGGACAUAACCAGGUACUCGUAGAGUCCAUAUCUUGUGGAGAAAGCAGUUUUGGGAAUGUCACAGGGUCGGAUCUUGAUUUGGUGGUAACCGAAACGAAGAUCAAUCUUGGAGAACACUCUAGCUCUAGCUAAUUGGUUAAACAGAACAUCAAUGCGGGGAAGGGGAUACUUGUUCUUGAUAGUCACCGCAUUGAGGGGUCGAUAGUCCACACACAUGCGUAGACUUUCAUCAUUCUUCUUCACAAAUAGGGCUGGGCAACCCCAGGGUGAAGUGCUGGGUCGGAUAAAGCCUUUCUCCAACAGAUCAUGCAAUUGGGUUUUCAACUCGGCCAGCUCGGCGGGUGGCAUCCAAUAGGGUCUUUUUGAUAUCGGGGCGGUGCCUGGCUGUAGUUCAAUGACAAACUCGAUAUCCCUAUUGUUGGAGGUAUGCCCUAGAGGCAAUCAUAGAGAUGAUGAUAUUCCAUUUGUAUCCAUGAUUUGUAUAUUGUGUUCAUUGAAUAUCCAUUAAAGGCUACUUGAAUUGAUCUGCAAUUAUGUGAAUUGUAUGUGAAACUCUUUACUUGUAUGGUUAUUCUAAAGUUGUCCCUAGUCAGAGUUCAUGUGAGGACACACAUGAAUAUUAGACUAGCACAUGUAUUAGUUGAU
This 34775-nucleotide long non-coding RNA is filed under the name Setaria viridis. Its description in RNAcentral is "long non-coding RNA (SVIR_LNC003297)". The record is from RNAcentral. Lineage: Eukaryota; Viridiplantae; Streptophyta; Magnoliopsida; Poales; Poaceae.